CGCUUCCGUUUUUUAAUAAUCUCUCCGAUGAAAGGGUAACUAGUCAUCCUUGCGAUUGUAAUUACUAUUGGCUAAUUUCAUUAGAACAUUUAACCACUUUGGUAACCAGACUGGCCUUUUUGUCAGAUAUUUUUUUGUUUUCUUUCGUUGUCUGGAAAAUUUUUGUUUUGUAAAAGAUCGAUGCCAGUUUGAGUAAUAGAAAUUAUUCGCUUGAUUUGGAAAAAUCUUUUUAUUCUUUUUAUUUACAUUCCGGAAAGUGUCUGUUAUAAACGAACUUGCAUCAUUUCAAAAAAGCAUGAAAAAAUAUUAU
This 310-nucleotide long non-coding RNA is filed under the name Mytilus galloprovincialis (Mediterranean mussel). Lineage: Eukaryota; Metazoa; Mollusca; Bivalvia; Mytilida; Mytilidae. The record is from RNAcentral.